UGAGUUGGUGAUGUAAACUUUCUCGAUUUCUGUUCAAUCUUUAUUGCUCAAACUCAAAAUUUGGUAAGGCAUAAUCUCGUAAGGAGCAAAUAAAUGGCCACAGUAACAAUCUCCAAAGCAUUUUUGGUUUUUCACUUGGGACAGUUUGAUGGCUCCAAAGUCCACAGACAUGCUGAAAGCACAGUAGCAAACAUUUCAUUUGUGAUGAUUGCUCUGACUGAAAUUCAAAUAUCCAUAGGAAAUAAAAUAGAUCAUCUCAUUUACCUUGGUACUCAGUUGAACAAUUUUUUGUCUUCUCCCA
Molecule: unclassified non-coding RNA, 301 nt
Filed under: Hevea brasiliensis (rubber tree)
Lineage: Eukaryota; Viridiplantae; Streptophyta; Magnoliopsida; Malpighiales; Euphorbiaceae
Source: RNAcentral